RNAcentral lists this non-coding RNA (45 nucleotides) under Schistosoma margrebowiei. Lineage: Eukaryota; Metazoa; Platyhelminthes; Trematoda; Strigeidida; Schistosomatidae. The record is from RNAcentral.
AUCCAAGUGAGUAGUCCUAAAUAGGACGAAACAUACGUCCUGGAU